Molecule: ribosomal RNA, 614 nt
Filed under: uncultured Kocuria sp.
Lineage: Bacteria; Bacillati; Actinomycetota; Actinomycetes; Micrococcales; Micrococcaceae
Description: bacterial SSU rRNA
Rfam family: Bacterial small subunit ribosomal RNA
Source: RNAcentral
UGGCCUACCAAGGCGACGACGGGUAGCCGGCCUGAGAGGGUGACCGGCCACACUGGGACUGAGACACGGCCCAGACUCCUACGGGAGGCAGCAGUGGGGAAUAUUGCACAAUGGGCGAAAGCCUGAUGCAGCGACGCCGCGUGAGGGAUGACGGCCUUCGGGUUGUAAACCUCUUUCAGCACGGAAGAAGCGAAAGUGACGGUACGUGCAGAAGAAGCGCCGGCUAACUACGUGCCAGCAGCCGCGGUAAUACGUAGGGCGCAAGCGUUGUCCGGAAUUAUUGGGCGUAAAGAGCUCGUAGGCGGUUUGUCGCGUCUGCUGUGAAAGCCCGGGGCUUAACCCCGUGGUGUGCAGUGGGUACGGGCAGACUAGAGUGCAGUAGGGGAGACUGGAAUUCCUGGUGUAGCGGUGAAAUGCGCAGAUAUCAGGAGGAACACCGAUGGCGAAGGCAGGUCUCUGGGCUGUUACUGACGCUGAGGAGCGAAAGCAUGGGGAGCGAACAGGAUUAGAUACCCUGGUAGUCCAUGCCGUAAACGUUGGGCACUAGGUGUGGGGGACAUUCCACGUUUUCCGCGCCGUAGCUAACGCAUUAAGUGCCCCGCCUGGGGAGUACG